This 848-nucleotide ribosomal RNA is filed under the name Streptomyces avidinii. Its description in RNAcentral is "bacterial SSU rRNA". It matches the Rfam family "Bacterial small subunit ribosomal RNA", at positions 62 to 921 of the family's 1533-position model. Lineage: Bacteria; Bacillati; Actinomycetota; Actinomycetes; Kitasatosporales; Streptomycetaceae. The record is from RNAcentral.
UCGAACGAUAGAAGCCCUUCGGGGUGGAUUAGUGGCGAACGGGUGAGUAACACGUGGGCAAUCUGCCCUUCACUCUGGGACAAGCCCUGGAAACGGGGUCUAAUACCGGAUAAUACUCCUGCCUGCAUGGGCGGGGGUUAAAAGCUCCGGCGGUGAAGGAUGAGCCCGCGGCCUAUCAGCUUGUUGGUGGGGUAAUGGCCCACCAAGGCGACGACGGGUAGCCGGCCUGAGAGGGCGACCGGCCACACUGGGACUGAGACACGGCCCAGACUCCUACGGGAGGCAGCAGUGGGGAAUAUUGCACAAUGGGCGAAAGCCUGAUGCAGCGACGCCGCGUGAGGGAUGACGGCCUUCGGGUUGUAAACCUCUUUCAGCAGGGAAGAAGCGAAAGUGACGGUACCUGCAGAAGAAGCGCCGGCUAACUACGUGCCAGCAGCCGCGGUAAUACGUAGGGCGCAAGCGUUGUCCGGAAUUAUUGGGCGUAAAGAGCUCGUAGGCGGCUUGUCACGUCGGAUGUGAAAGCCCGAGGCUUAACCUCGGGUCUGCAUUCGAUACGGGCUAGCUAGAGUGUGGUAGGGGAGAUCGGAAUUCCUGGUGUAGCGGUGAAAUGCGCAGAUAUCAGGAGGAACACCGGUGGCGAAGGCGGAUCUCUGGGCCAUUACUGACGCUGAGGAGCGAAAGCGUGGGGAGCGAACAGGAUUAGAUACCCUGGUAGUCCACGCCGUAAACGUUGGGAACUAGGUGUUGGCGACAUUCCACGUCGUCGGUGCCGCAGCUAACGCAUUAAGUUCCCCCGCCUGGGGGAGUACGGCCGCAAGGCUAAAAAUUCAAAUGAAUUGACCGGGGGA